UGAGAUGUUGGGUUAAGUCCCGUAACGAGCGCAACCCUUGUCCUUAGUUACCAGCACGUAUGGUGGGCACUCUAAGGAGACUGCCGGUGACAAACCGGAGGAAGGUGGGGAUGACGUCAAGUCAUCAUGGCCCUUACGGCCUGGGCUACACACGUGCUACAAUGGUCGGUACAAAGGGUUGCCAAGCCGCGAGGUGGAGCUAAUCCCAUAAAACCGAUCGUAGUCCGGAUCGCAGUCUGCAACUCGACUGCGUGAAGUCGGAAUCGCUAGUAAUCGUGAAUCAGAGUGUCACGGUGAAUACGUUCCCGGGCCUU
RNAcentral lists this ribosomal RNA (314 nucleotides) under uncultured Pseudomonas sp. RNAcentral's name for it is "bacterial SSU rRNA". It matches the Rfam family "Bacterial small subunit ribosomal RNA", at positions 1068 to 1382 of the family's 1533-position model. Lineage: Bacteria; Pseudomonadati; Pseudomonadota; Gammaproteobacteria; Pseudomonadales; Pseudomonadaceae. The record is from RNAcentral.